ACAUGUCUACAACAUAGUGUUAAUGCACCAGAUCCCAUUGGAACUCUACAUUUAAGUGUGCUCGGGCUAGAGAAGGUACUAGGAUGGGUGACUUCCCAGGAAGUCCUAAUUUUUUACAUGCC
Picea glauca (white spruce) is the source of this 122-nucleotide non-coding RNA. NCBI's taxonomy places the organism in Eukaryota, Viridiplantae, Streptophyta, Pinopsida, Pinales, Pinaceae. The record is from Rfam.